UAAUACCGCAUAGAUCCAAGAACCGCAUGGUUCUUGGCUGAAAGAUGGCGUAAGCUAUCGCUUUUGGAUGGACCCGCGGCGUAUUAGCUAGUUGGUGAGGUAACGGCUCACCAAGGCGAUGAUACGUAGCCGAACUGAGAGGUUGAUCGGCCACAUUGGGACUGAGACACGGCCCAAACUCCUACGGGAGGCAGCAGUAGGGAAUCUUCCACAAUGGACGCAAGUCUGAUGGAGCAACGCCGCGUGAGUGAAGAAGGCUUUCGGGUCGUAAAACUCUGUUGUUGGAGAAGAAUGGUCGGCAGAGUAACUGUUGUCGGCGUGACGGUAUCCAACCAGAAAGCCACGGCUAACUACGUGCCAGCAGCCGCGGUAAUACGUAGGUGGCAAGCGUUAUCCGGAUUUAUUGGGCGUAAAGCGAGCGCAGGCGGUUUUUUAAGUCUGAUGUGAAAGCCCUCGGCUUAACCGAGGAAGCGCAUCGGAAACUGGGAAACUUGAGUGCAGAAGAGGACAGUGGAACUCCAUGUGUAGCGGUGAAAUGCGUAGAUAUAUGGAAGAACACCAGUGGCGAAGGCGGCUGUCUGGUCUGUAACUGACGCUGAG
Molecule: ribosomal RNA, 600 nt
Filed under: Lactobacillus casei group sp.
Lineage: Bacteria; Bacillati; Bacillota; Bacilli; Lactobacillales; Lactobacillaceae
Description: bacterial SSU rRNA
Rfam family: Bacterial small subunit ribosomal RNA
Source: RNAcentral